Brachypodium distachyon (stiff brome) is the source of this 933-nucleotide long non-coding RNA. RefSeq lists it as uncharacterized. The record is from RefSeq and is a predicted model, not a curated record. The transcript has 2 exons. NCBI's taxonomy places the organism in Eukaryota, Viridiplantae, Streptophyta, Magnoliopsida, Poales, Poaceae.
CACUCCCAUAGACGCGGAGAGAGAGAGACCGGGCAGGGCAUGGCGGCGGCGGCGGCGGCCGUGAUCCCGACUGCGAGGAAGACACAUCCUAAGCGCGGCGAAGCGGUCAACCGCGACAUAUUACCCUGCAUCUGUAUUUAGAAUUAUCGAGCAUAGCCUGACCAUCCCCUGCGGGAUCUUGCGCGCGAAAUGUUCGUCCACAGCAUUCUGUCUCCUUGUGCAUGAUCCUAUUCUCAAAAUGGUACGCGUCUAUGAUAAGCCUGCAUCUCAUAUCGGAGUCACAAGGGAUAACUGACGAAAAGGAAAGGAUUAAAGGUCGGCGUGUGUGACACCUUUCUUGUGCUGGUUUUGCACAGAUUUGGUUUUCGUCAGUUGCAGUCAAAAGCGAUCUUGGACCAAGCACUUCAGGGAUGUGGCCCAGGCAGAAUUGAACUUGGGGGUAGUUCCCUGGCAGUUGCAUCCAAGGAUUAAUUUCAGACCCCGUAGAUGGCAAGUUCAUAUCAUAGUUCCUUCAGGCUUUGUCUCUUGGAGUGCUCGGCAUCAGGCAUCUCUAUGUACCUGUGGUUGCUGGAGAUGGCUUUGUUUCUUUUGCAACUGUGCAGUCAAAGGGGACCAUGAACUUAUUAGGGUCAAAGCAACCUUGCCGCUUUCAAUGCCUCUCACCUUUAAUUCGGACAAAAGUUUCUAGUAUCCUAGCUGUUGUUCUUUCCUGAAAAUGACAGUGGCUGGGACAUGAGCCUGAAAAUGGAACAAUCAGACCAGUGUUACAUGAAUAUGUAAGCUAUUAGCAACGAUAGAAGGCCUGUGAAACUAUUUGCUUAAAAAGGUGUCAGCCUAGCUAGUAGUACUGUCUCUUUGAUCGUAAAGUAGAUGUAUAUAUCUUGUAAAGUUGGGCUAGUGGGUUAGUGUAUGAUUUAGACGAAUCUUAUCUCA